CCUACGGGUGGCAGCAGUAGGGAAUCUUGCACAAUGGGCGAAAGCCUGAUGGAGCAACGCCGCGUGAAGGAUGAAGGCCUUCGGGAUGUAAAACGCUUUUAUAAGCGAGAAAGAUGAUGGUAACUUAUGAAUAAGGAUCGGCUAACUACGUGCCAGCAGCCGCGGUCAUACGUAGGGUCCGAGCAUUAUCCGGAGUGACUGGGGGUAAAGAGUUGCGUAUGUGGCAUAAUAAGUAGCUAGUGAAAACUGGUGGCUCAACCAUUCAGACUAUUAGCUAAAUUGUUAAGCUCGAGACCGUGAGAGGUAAGUGGAAUUUCUGGUGUAGCGGUGAAAUCCGUAGAUAUUAGGAGGAACACCAAUAGCGAAGGCAGGUUGCUGGGACGGUUCUGACGCUGAGGCACGAAAGCGUAGGGAGCAAACAGGAUUAGAUACCCGGGUAGUC
Molecule: ribosomal RNA, 442 nt
Filed under: uncultured bacterium
Lineage: Bacteria
Description: partial 16S ribosomal RNA
Rfam family: Bacterial small subunit ribosomal RNA
Source: RNAcentral